GGGCAGCUAGCCAGUGAUGGCAUGCGAAUCUCGAAAGCCUAUCUCAGUUCGGAUUGGAGGCUGAAACCCGCCUCCAUGAAGUUGGAUUCGCUAGUAAUCGCGCAUCAGCCAUGGCGCGGUGAAUACGUUCCCGGGCCUUGUACACACCGCCCGUCAAGCCAUGGGAGCCGGGGGUGCCUGAAGUUCGUUACCGCAAGGAUCGACCUAGGGCAAAACUGGUGACUGGGGCUAAGUCGUAACAAGGUAAC
This 248-nucleotide ribosomal RNA is filed under the name uncultured bacterium. Its description in RNAcentral is "partial 16S ribosomal RNA". It matches the Rfam family "Bacterial small subunit ribosomal RNA", at positions 1244 to 1500 of the family's 1533-position model. The record is from RNAcentral.